UCAGAUGGAAGGGGGGAGGGGCAGAACUCUAAGGCCUGGAGGACUAAGCUCAUGACCUAGAGAGUUCUUAACGUCUGGCCUAAGAAUUUAGCGGUUUUUUUUAACUCCUCCCAACGGCGAGCGUCGGUGGGCCUCAGAGGCGGAUCCUGAUACGCACCGUCCCCUCCUCUUCCUCCUCCAGCACACUUCCUCCCGGACUGUGGGGACUUCUCGGGUUUGGCUCGCUGAUCUGCCUGUAUUUUGUGUGACUUUGUUUUAAUCAACAAAAAUUCCUUUACAGAUUUUCCUUCCAAAUAAAAAAACAGGAUUGAAAGAGAAGCCAUUACCAAUUCCCCUCUGUUUUCUUUUUUCUUAUACUAAAAGAGGAAUUGGGAACGAGGCUUGCGCUUGGCUUAGGCAUUGCCUGUGACAGCCUCACGCUUCAAGGCCUUUUCCCUCCUCGUCCACUUUCCUGAGGCUUUAAAUAGCCGUUUCGUGAAGGCCUCAGUCUUUUCUUCUCCAUGGGCUCCUCUCGCCGCUGGGAUGCUGCCUGGGCUCUGUGCCGUGGCCGCCGGGCCCGCGCUCGAGAUUCCGCCCCCGGCUGACGCUCGCUGGGUUGAUCGGGAAGGGAAAACGUGAGGAGUAGAACGAGGAGCUUUUCGGCAGCGUAGGCCUCUGGAGCCCGGCUUUCCCCCCCCACGCUCAGUUACCCCCCGGACCGUGCAAGUGACUAGACCGCAGGACUUGGGACGGACGCACGCACGCAACAGCGGGCACGCGUAGGUGGGAAACAAGGCACAUGACCAGGUCCUCCAUGGGGCCCAAACAUCAUCUUUAUUACUAGGUAUGAAUAAAGUUUAACUUGGUCAUUAUAGUUUUAUAACAUUUUUAUGGCAAGAAAAUUGGUCAGAGGCUGGG
RNAcentral lists this long non-coding RNA (897 nucleotides) under Sarcophilus harrisii (Tasmanian devil). RNAcentral's name for it is "lncRNA (ENSSHAG00000025185.1)". Lineage: Eukaryota; Metazoa; Chordata; Mammalia; Dasyuromorphia; Dasyuridae. The record is from RNAcentral.